GGGUGAGUAAUGCCUAGGAAUCUGCCUGGUAGUGGGGGAUAACGCUCGGAAACGGACGCUAAUACCGCAUACGUCCUACGGGAGAAAGCAGGGGACCUUCGGGCCUUGCGCUAUCAGAUGAGCCUAGGUCGGAUUAGCUAGUUGGUGGGGUAAUGGCUCACCAAGGCGACGAUCCGUAACUGGUCUGAGAGGAUGAUCAGUCACACUGGAACUGAGACACGGUCCAGACUCCUACGGGAGGCAGCAGUGGGGAAUAUUGGACAAUGGGCGAAAGCCUGAUCCAGCCAUGCCGCGUGUGUGAAGAAGGUCUUCGGAUUGUAAAGCACUUUAAGUUGGGAGGAAGGGCAUUAACCUAAUACGUUAGUGUUUUGACGUUACCGACAGAAUAAGCACCGGCUAACUCUGUGCCAGCAGCCGCGGUAAUACAGAGGGUGCAAGCGUUAAUCGGAAUUACUGGG
Molecule: ribosomal RNA, 458 nt
Filed under: Pseudomonas brassicacearum
Lineage: Bacteria; Pseudomonadati; Pseudomonadota; Gammaproteobacteria; Pseudomonadales; Pseudomonadaceae
Description: bacterial SSU rRNA
Rfam family: Bacterial small subunit ribosomal RNA
Source: RNAcentral